This 329-nucleotide non-coding RNA is filed under the name Triticum aestivum (bread wheat). RNAcentral describes it as "Bacterial small subunit ribosomal RNA". It matches the Rfam family "Bacterial small subunit ribosomal RNA", at positions 548 to 873 of the family's 1533-position model. Lineage: Eukaryota; Viridiplantae; Streptophyta; Magnoliopsida; Poales; Poaceae. The record is from Rfam by way of RNAcentral.
GAAUGAUUGGGCGUAAAGCGUCUGUAGGUGGCUUUUUUCAAGUCCAGCGUCAUAUCCCAGGGCUCAACCCUGCACAAGCGGUGGAAACUACCAAGCUGGAGUACGGUAGGGGCAGAGGGAAUUUCUGGUGGAGCAGUGAAAUGCAUUGAGAUCGUAAAGAACACCAAUGGCGAAAGCACUCGGCUGGGCCGACACUAACACUGAGAGGCGAAAGCUAGUGGAGCAAAUGGGAUUAGAGACCCCAGUAGUCCUAGCCGUAAACGAUGGAUACUAGGUGUUGUUCGACUCGACCCAUGCAGUGCUCUAGCUAAUGUGUUAAGUAUCCCGCC